UAUGGCCAUAUCAUGUUGAAACAUUGGUUCCCAUAUGAUCACCAAAAGUUAAGCAAUGUUGAGCUUGGUCAGUACUUAGAUGGGUGACUGCUUGGGAAUAUCAGGUGCUGUAAG
This 114-nucleotide ribosomal RNA is filed under the name Acanthosepion pharaonis. Lineage: Eukaryota; Metazoa; Mollusca; Cephalopoda; Sepiida; Sepiidae. The record is from RNAcentral.